This is a long non-coding RNA of Oncorhynchus tshawytscha (Chinook salmon), 875 nucleotides long. The record is from Ensembl. NCBI's taxonomy places the organism in Eukaryota, Metazoa, Chordata, Actinopteri, Salmoniformes, Salmonidae.
AGGGUUAUGAGCUAGGGUUAGGGUUAGGGUUAAGAGCUAGUGUUAGGUUUAGGGUUAGGAGCUAGGGUUAGGAGCUAGGGUUAGGUUUAGGGUUAGGAGUGAGGAAUUAGGAACCAGGGUUAGGUGCUAGGGUUAAGAGCUAGGGUUAGCUGUAGGGUUAGGAGCUAGGGUUAGGUUUAGGUUUAAGAGCUUGGGUUAGGUUUAGGAUUAGGUGCUAGGGUUAGGUUUAGGGUUAGGUUUAGGGUUAGGAGCUUGGGUUAGGUUUGGUGUUCGGGGCUAGAGCUAAGUUUAGGUUUAAGAGCUUGGGUUAGGUUUAGGAUUAGGGUUAGGGUUAGUUUUAGGGUUAGGAGUGAGGGUUAGGAACCAGGGUUAGGGUUAGGUGCUAGGGUUAGGUGCUAGGGUUAGGUUUAGGAUUAGGUGCUAGGGUUAGGUGCUAGGGUUAGGUUUAGGGUUAGGUGCUAGGGUUAGGUGCUAGGGUUAGGUUUAGGGUUAAGAGCUAGGUUAGGUUUAGGGUUAGGUGCUAGGGUUAGGUUUAGGGUUAGGAGCUAGGGUUAGGUUUAGGGUUAGGUGCUAGGGUUAAGAGCUAGGGUUCGUUUUAGGGUUAGGAGCUAGGGUUCGGUUUAGGGUUAGGAGCUCGGAUUAGUUUUAGGGUUAGGUGCUAGGGUCAGAUUUAGGGUUAGGAGCUAGGGUUAGGUUUAGGUGCUAGGGUUAGGUUUAGGGUUAAGAGCUAGAGUUAGGUUUAGGGUUAGGAGCUAGGGUUAAGUUUAGUGUUAAGAGCUAGGGUUAGGAUUAGGGUUAAGAGCUAUGUAUAGGUUUAGGGUUAGGAGCUAGGGUUCGGUUUAGGGUUAGGAGCUAGGAUUCGUUUUAGGGUUAGG